CCUGUCCUCUGUGUGGGGUGGAGUCCGGGGACCUGGACUGAGAAGAAGCCAGGAUUCUGGCUACGGCAAUAGGGUGACAGAGGGUACCCUCCCUGCCUGGUCUGGACCUUGCCUGACCUGCGGACCUCGAAGCACGGAGGGUGGGAUAAUCGUCAAGACUCCAAGGGCAAGCAGCCGAACCCACCGAAAUCAGCUUACGUGAAAAGAGGUUCCUUGGAAGGAGAGCUGGUUGGUUACAUGGCAUGUGCUGGAGCCCCCAGUCCCAGGGGUCUGGGAAGAGCAGAACGUACGUGCUGGAAGAGGUUUUCUAGAGCUCCUCAUUGGCAAAGGAGAAGGCUGAGGCUAUUUCAGCCCUCGUGGUCUGUUGCCUCGCAGCUGGCAGAACGGGAGCUGGGGUGCGGCUCCUUCCUCUGGAUGGGGCCUCAGGCGAACAUUGCCCUGAAUUCAGCCAAGCUGGAGGACAGAAGCAGAGUGAGGACGCGCUACAGAGAAAACAACCUCAACGCUACUCGCCUUACACGACCAGCUCAGGCAGAAGCCCGGGAGCCACAGCAGAGAGCAGGGCAAGGGCAGGAGAGCCGGAUGGUCCAGGAGCAGCACCCACUCCACGCCUGUUUCCACUGCUGCCGCUCACGGGGAGCAGUGGCCCUUCUCCACGUCCUUGUGCCACGCGACGGAUGGUCUUAGGACGCACUCGCGAGGCGCUAGUCUGUCGGAAAGCUGGAAUAGUGCCCAUUUCCACAGCUUAAACUUUGAGGGUCCAACUUAACAAAAGGAGUCCAGCCUCCCCAAAGGAAAAUGGGGGUUUCAGAGUUUAUUUCUUGUUUUCGGCCCAAACAGCAGAUGACAGGUGCACAGGCUGUUUUCCUGAGUUUCACGUUUUAAGUGAAUAAAUCAGGUUCUUUAAUGAUCACACGGCAUAAGUUACUGAUACAGACAAUAUUCUGACAUUCUUCUCAAGGUCCUGGGAGACAACGGGACUAAAGGUGCGAUGUAACACAUGAGAGAGCUCUGGGCUCCUCACUUGUCCCCUGAGCCAAGACGCCGCUGCCCUGGCCGUGGGCUCCACGGCCGCCCUCGCCCCAGCUGUGGAAGACGCGACGGCGUUUCUGCCAUGGAAAAGCCGGCGGCGCGGGGCGCCCGGCGGGAGAGUGUGCCGCGAGGCAGCUGCCCUGUGGCGCGGGGAAGACCACGUCCUCCUGUAACGCAUCCAGGAAAAGAUAAUUGCAUUCCGUGGAGAGAAAACACACGAGGAUAGGGGUCAUUUAUUUAAAAAAUUCCUAGUUUUGUAACAUCAGGAACCGAGGGGGCGUCUGUUAAACCGUAUUACCAUCCACCGGCACGGUUUUGCAUCCCUUCCAUUGCAUAAGAACUGAAGAAUGCUUUUUACCGUGUCAACACUGUUUAAAUAAUGACAUAUUACCUUCAACUCCCCACCUGAGCUUCGAGUUCUCUUUUGAUCAACAUUCAUUUGUCAGUCAUUUCUACAUGCAACUUCCCCUAAAAUACACAGCGGAUUCUGAAAUAGCUGCACGGCCCUGGCGCGGCUGUCAGUAACGG
This is a long non-coding RNA of Lutra lutra (Eurasian river otter), 1560 nucleotides long. RefSeq lists it as uncharacterized. Lineage: Eukaryota; Metazoa; Chordata; Mammalia; Carnivora; Mustelidae. The record is from RefSeq and is a predicted model, not a curated record. The transcript is spliced from 4 exons.